CUCCAAGGAUGGCAGCAGGCGCGAAAAUUACCCACUCCCGGCACGGGGAGGUAGUGACGAAAAAUACGGAUACGGGACUCAAACGAGGCUCCGUAAUUCGAAUGAGUACAAUUUAAAUCCUUUAACGAGGACCAAUUGGAGGGCAAGUCUGGUGCCAGCAGCCGCGGUAACUCCAGCUCCAAAAGCGUAUAUUAAAGUUGCUGCAGUUAAAAAGCUCGUAGUUGGAUCUGGGUUGUGCGUUCACGCGCCUUUACUUGUUUAUCAGCCUUGGUAAAUGCCCUGGCUGGUGUUCAAUUUGGUGUAGUGGGCGUGCUGCCUUUCAGCCGUGUCUGUGUAAACG
This 340-nucleotide ribosomal RNA is filed under the name Clinostomum sp. F0103.1. RNAcentral's name for it is "SSU rRNA". It matches the Rfam family "Eukaryotic small subunit ribosomal RNA", at positions 414 to 756 of the family's 1831-position model. The record is from RNAcentral. Lineage: Eukaryota; Metazoa; Platyhelminthes; Trematoda; Strigeidida; Clinostomidae.